Molecule: long non-coding RNA, 112 nt
Organism: Thalassophryne amazonica
Lineage: Eukaryota; Metazoa; Chordata; Actinopteri; Batrachoidiformes; Batrachoididae
Exons: 3
Source: RefSeq, a predicted model, not a curated record
ACCCACUGAGUUCCUCAGUUUGGGUCUCCUUAACAUAAGGUCACUGUCCUCAAAAUCACUGUUGAUAAAUGUUCUUAUUAUGGAACACCACUUACAUUUGUAUGGCUUUUGU